CCUAGAUUUCCAUUUAGAAAUAGUCUGACAAUUUUCACAUCUCAACUGGCAGCAGGCACAGAAUGCAGACAGCUGCCGAGAUGCUCUCUGUCGUGCUGAAAUGUAAUAUCGCAGUGCUUUGUUAAAUCCUUUAUCUGCAUACCUGCCACAGGCUGCCCACACUGGGGUGUGAACUUCAUAUUUAAUCAGAGCAGUGUGUCUGAACCAGAUAUGUCAUAAAUUAGCACAGCAACUAACUUCUGCAGACCUGCUUUUUUUUUUUUUUUUUUUUUUUUUAAGACAGGGUCUUGUUCUGUCACCCCAGCUGGAGUGCAGUGGUGCAAUCAUGGCUCACUGCAGCCUUGACUUUCCCACCUGUGUUCAGGUGAUUCUCCCACCUCAGCCUCCCAAGUGGCUGGGACUGCAGACACACACCACCAUGACCAGUUAUUUUUUCUAUUUUUGUAGAGUCGGGUGUCUCACUAUGUUGCCCAGCCUGGUCUCAAAUCCCUGGGCCCAAGUAAUCCUCCUGCCUCAUACAUCUCAAAGUGCUGGGGUUACAGAUAUGAGCCACUACGCUUGGCCUUGUACUGCUUCUUGGUAAGCAAAAUGAAAUCGAAGUUUUACAUGCCAAGCUCUGGAGGGGGAUUUUUACGCUGGCAUAAUCCCAUCCCCUCUGUUCUGUAAACACUCCCAGGAGGCUGUCCCGCUCCAGGAAUGUCUGCAAAAUAUGAUGAUAAGAAUAAUUGAAGUAUGUAAUAAUGUUUGCACUGUUCAAGAAAAAAAAACAGGACGCGGGUUUGAAUGGAAUAACUGAACGUUACGUGGUUGAUUUUCAGGUAGUGUCUGCUCAUUUCAUCACAUUGGCGUGGUGUCUACCAAUUCCCUAACACAACUUCUAAACCCACUUUUCCACCCUUAAGAGCCUUUCUUCGAGGCCAAUGCCAUUUUGCAGUCCUAUCCCUUCCACCCUCCACUGCUGUUAACUGCCAAUUUCCUGGAUGCUGCCCUUCGUUGACUACAGUCAGGGGUUCCAGAAUCCCUCCUUGCCUCCCAUAGAGGGGUCCCUGUGCCGCCACAAUCGCUCAUCUCCACGUCAUGGGUGUUGUCCUUCCAACACACACUGACUCCUCUAUUUCAACAUUUCCGGAGCCUGCGCUGCCUCUCCACGCCUGCUGAGCUGCUUCAUCACAUCAUGGGACACCAGAAUGGCAAGAAGCAUCCUACCAGCCUCAUGGGAGGGACUCAACUUCAAUGCAUGCUUUCCAUUUGAAUGGGAGUGGUUGGGCGGCUGGAGGCCACUGUGAGUCUGAGGAUGGAGGCAAGAUGUGAAGAUGCUGGAAUGAGGAAUGGGAAGGGAGUAGUAAGAGGUGAGCUGAGGCCUGGUCUACAUGAGCAUAGCCCCAAUGCUGUAGAGGGUGAGGAUAGUGUUAUGUGCACACACUGCUGGUGGGCUGCACCUUGCACAAAACAAUUUGGCAAUACACACCAAAAACUUUAGAAACGUUUACACAUAUUGGUCCAGUAGUCCCACUGCUGGGAAUCCAUACAAAGGAAAUAUUUAUAUUCAUAAGGAAAAGACAACAUGGCGACUCUCUAACUAGCCAGGCAUUCAGCUACAUCAUUACAUUUAUACUGUCUAAUUCCCAGAAGUCAUGUUCCAGGAAGUAAGUACAAGCUAAGGUAGGUACUCGGACAGGGCACAGAAUGCCUUGGCAUUCAAGACAAAGAGGGAAACAUGCAUUGCAUAGUCCCCAACACUCUGUAGAAGGAAAAAUGCCAGCUAUCCAUUCGUCAUGGAAUAGACUCUUUUCAAGUUCUGAUAUAAGAGGAAUUUGUGCAAUGAGUUCUUAUCAACCAAGAUGUGAUUAUAAUCAUUUUGUUUGAGAUCUUGCUAAUCCAUAGCUAUUAUCUGAAUAUGUCUUUUAUUUUGCUUUUUAUUUUGAUUAUGAUGGAGGGUUUUUGAUACAGAGAAAAUUUUAAUUUCCAGGUGAUCUAUCUGUCAGCUGUAUGACUUAUCCUUCUGCUUUUAUGCUUUGAAAGAUCUUCUCCACCCACCCCCAGGAAGUUUGGUAAACAUUCAUGUUUGCUCUUCUGUGCUAUUUUUCUGUUUUAUUCUACCUACCCAUAAUACAUCUUGAGGUAUGAUCCACAGGCAAGAUCAUGCUUUCUUGUGACAGUCGGCCUAGAAACCUUUACUGAACUUACUUCCUCAUUGUUUUGGGGUGUCCCUGCUCUUAUACUAUAUGCUGUAUCUCUGUGUGUAAGGAAGUCUGUUCCUAAGACACCAGCCCCAUCCUAUAGAUCUGGCCUUAUUCUUCACUCUGUUUUCGUCACUGUCACAAUGUGGCAUGGGUCAGCAUCUGAGCAGGUCACAUGUCCCACUUACUCUGAGCUCCUUGAAUCUUUUUUUAUCAUCUCCAGCCAGGAUUUUGGAUGGAGUUAUAAGCAGACGACAGAAAUUAAGGCCGCUGGCCACAUUCAUAAGCCUUUGGAGCACGGUCCAUCUACCCUGGGUCAUUUUCUGCUGGAACAGAUGCCUGUCUGGAGGCUGGCAGACCCUUUACCCACCACGGGAAUUUGUGGGGUGUGAUCUGAGAGAUGCUUUCUCCAGUGGAGAUGUGGGAACUAGAUUAUUCCAACUGUGGCCAACACAGUAACGAGAGAUUCCCACACUCCCCGAUAUUCCUUCUGACAGGGACAAAUUAUACUUUGACAACACUUUAGAGGUCACAGAAGGCAUUCCCAAACACAGUCUCGAGCAGCCUUUGUAUCAAUGCUGAGUUGAAUGAGCAAGUAUUGUUGCCCCACUUGUACACGAGGACAGCAGUGCCCAGAGAGAUCAGGUGGAAUCUGAACCCCAGCACUCUGCGAUGAUGUGUGCACUGAGAAAUCCACAAAGGCAUGGAUGAAUAAUAAGUAAAUGAAUCCAAACCACUCCCCACACCAGGAGUGCAAAUGGUACUGCUUGUUUCUAGCAAAUGGUCUGGCUUUCCCACAUCCCUCCGGCCCAGCCCAUGAUCUCUCUCACUCCUGCAUGGUUCUCAAAUUCUGCAGGGAGCUGUCAGUGUUUGAAUUUAAAGGGAGCUUCUAGUAUCUUAUGGGCUGUAAGAGGUUGCAAAAAUAAACAAAUGGUACCAAAUCAUACCAUGAUGGGCUUUACCACGUUCCUGUUACAGGAUCCGUCACCUGUGACUACACGCUUCUCUGUGGGUGGAUUUUUUGCUGUUUUAUUUGAUUGAUUGUGUUACUGUGAAACUAAUAAUAAGUAGCAGAAACUGACAUAGAUUUUACAGUGUCUAACAAAAGUAUAGUAUAUUCUUCACCAUCUUAAAUUGCCCAGCUAUGCAGAAUGCAGGUUUAUGAGUGGCCAACACUUCACACCCAGUCAGAGGAGACAGGGCCUUCUCCUAAUGUUAGUGUUUUUAUAGAUCAGGGUCCAGCAGUUACCUGGCACUCACACCGGGGAUUGAGGGAGGGUCGAGUAAAGGGGCACUGGUAGGGAGUAGGCAGGCUUUAGGGAAGUGACGGGAUGGGUACCAAGCUCAAGACGGGAAGGCUGGGGUGCAGAGAGGCAGCCAUGUGUCCAGCCACCCCUACAAGCUGGGCCCCCAAUGGAGGGGCGUGGCCGGCCCACAGAGACCAGAGCCACACAAACUGACCCACCCCCCCCCAGGCCUACCCCUGCCUGUGCCCCCUGCUGAUGGGCUUUUGGGGGACCCAGGGGCACGGAGCCCUCAGUACUGCCCAAGGAGUGAGAGAGGCAGAUGGAUGCACCAGCAACAUCAGGGAAUUGGACUUACCCCAAAAACAUUGCCAACUCCUGCACCAAACCCAAACCAGAAGAUAGCGCCUAAGAAAGGGAUGUCUUCCCAGAAGUGAUCUUGUUUAUAUAAGACUCUCCCAGAGCCAUCAAAACUAAAUCAUGUUCACUUAAAUGUUUAAUAAUUUCC
RNAcentral lists this long non-coding RNA (3932 nucleotides) under Homo sapiens (human). RNAcentral describes it as "HSALNT0355592". Lineage: Eukaryota; Metazoa; Chordata; Mammalia; Primates; Hominidae. The record is from RNAcentral.